This 254-nucleotide ribosomal RNA is filed under the name uncultured bacterium. Its description in RNAcentral is "partial 16S ribosomal RNA". It matches the Rfam family "Bacterial small subunit ribosomal RNA", at positions 524 to 776 of the family's 1533-position model. The record is from RNAcentral.
UACGAAGGGGGCUAGCGUUGCUCGGAAUCACUGGGCGUAAGGGGUGCGUAGGCGGAUCGUUAAGUCGGGGGUGAAAUCCUGGAGCUCAACUCCAGAACUGCCUCCGAUACUGGCGAUCUUGGAGUCCGGGAGAGGUGAGUGGAACUCCGAGUGUAGAGGUGAAAUUCGUAGAUAUUCGGAAGAACACCAGUGGCGAAGGCGGCUCACUGGCCCGGUACUGACGCUGAGGUGCGAAAGCUAGGGGAGCAAACGGG